GAUAGGUCUCGAUUGCUGGAAUGCAUCGAGAUUUAAAGCUCCGGCGCCUGAGGAUGGGUCUGCGGCCUAUCAGGUAGUAGUGGGUGUAGCGUACCUACUAGCCUACGACGGGUACGGGUUGUGAGAGCAAGAGCCCGGAGAUGGAUUCUGAGACACGAAUCCAGGCCCUACGGGGUGCAGCAGGCGCGAAAACUUUACAAUGCUGGCAACAGCGAUAAGGGAACCUCGAGUGCCAGGUUACAAAUCUGGCUGUCGAGAUGCCUAAAAAGCAUUUCAUAGCAAGGGCCGGGCAAGACCGGUGCCAGCCGCCGCGGUAACACCGGCGGCCCGAGUGGUAACCGCUUUUAUUGGGUCUAAAGGGUCUGUAGCCGGCCAAGUAAGUCCCUUGGGAAAUCUGGCAGCUUAACUGUCAGGCUGCUAGGGGAUACUGCUAGGCUUGGGACCGGGAGAGGUGAGAGGUACCUUGGGGGUAGGGGUGAAAUCUUGUGAUCCUCGGGGGACCACCAGUGGCGAAGGCGUCUCACCAGAACGGGUCCGACGGUAAGGGACGAAAGCUAGGGGCACGAACCGGAUUAGAUACCCGGGUAGUCCUAGCCGUAAACGAUGCUCGCUAGGUGUCAGUCACGGUGCGACCGUGAUUGGUGUCGUAGGGAAGCCGUGAAGCGAGCCACCUGGGAAGUAUGGCCGCAAGGCUGAAACUUAAAGGAAUUGGCGGGGGAGCACAA
Molecule: ribosomal RNA, 725 nt
Filed under: uncultured archaeon
Lineage: Archaea
Description: bacterial SSU rRNA
Rfam family: Archaeal small subunit ribosomal RNA
Source: RNAcentral